GGAGUUGAACGGGUAAUCGCUGCUUUGCUGAUGUCCUUCGGGAGACUGACGUUGAGGUCCUUCGGGAAACUGACGUUGAAGUCCUUCGGGAGACUGGUAGAGGGGAGGAACGUCCGGGCUCCAUAGAGCAGGGUGCCAGAUAACGUCUNNNNNNNNNNUCGGAAGAGGCACAGGUAAGGCUGAAAGGGUGCGGUAAGAGCGCACCGUGCGACUGGCAACAGUUCGUAGCAAGGUAAACUCCACCCGGAGCAAGAUCAAAUAGGCCCUCGCAUUGCGCUGCUCGCGUAUGGGGGCGGGUAGAUUGCUUGAGCCUGUGAGCGAUUGCAGGCCUAGACGAAUGGUUACCGCCGCGCAAGCGGAACAGAACCCGGCGUAUGUGUCAACUCCACCU
This 391-nucleotide RNase P RNA is filed under the name Vibrio cyclitrophicus. RNAcentral describes it as "RNase P RNA component class A". It matches the Rfam family "Bacterial RNase P class A". Rfam says of the family: Ribonuclease P (RNase P) is a ubiquitous endoribonuclease, found in archaea, bacteria and eukarya as well as chloroplasts and mitochondria. Its best characterised activity is the generation of mature 5'-ends of tRNAs by cleaving the 5'-leader elements of precursor-tRNAs. Lineage: Bacteria; Pseudomonadati; Pseudomonadota; Gammaproteobacteria; Vibrionales; Vibrionaceae. The record is from RNAcentral.